GAGGAUAUAGCUCAGUGGUAGAGCUUACACCUAGCAUGCAUGAGGCCCUGGGUUCAAUCCCCAGUACCUCCA
This 72-nucleotide transfer RNA is filed under the name Camelus bactrianus (Bactrian camel). It matches the Rfam family "tRNA". Rfam says of the family: Transfer RNA (tRNA) molecules are approximately 80 nucleotides in length. Their secondary structure includes four short double-helical elements and three loops (D, anti-codon, and T loops). Further hydrogen bonds mediate the characteristic L-shaped molecular structure. tRNAs have two regions of fundamental functional importance: the anti-codon, which is responsible for specific mRNA codon recognition, and the 3' end, to which the tRNAs corresponding amino acid is attached (by aminoacyl-tRNA synthetases). tRNAs cope with the degeneracy of the genetic code in two manners: having more than one tRNA (with a specific anti-codon) for a particular amino acid; and 'wobble' base-pairing, i.e. permitting non-standard base-pairing at the 3rd anti-codon position. The record is from Rfam by way of RNAcentral. Lineage: Eukaryota; Metazoa; Chordata; Mammalia; Artiodactyla; Camelidae. RNAcentral also lists the same sequence under 2 other names.